GCCAUCUUAGCUCAGUUGACUAGAGCACCGCUUUCGUAAAGCGGGGGUCCCGAGUUUGAAUCUCGGAGGUGGCUCCA
This 77-nucleotide transfer RNA is filed under the name Candidatus Nomurabacteria bacterium. RNAcentral's name for it is "tRNA-Thr". It matches the Rfam family "tRNA". Rfam says of the family: Transfer RNA (tRNA) molecules are approximately 80 nucleotides in length. Their secondary structure includes four short double-helical elements and three loops (D, anti-codon, and T loops). Lineage: Bacteria; Candidatus Nomuraibacteriota. The record is from RNAcentral.